RNAcentral lists this ribosomal RNA (3732 nucleotides) under Triticum aestivum (bread wheat). RNAcentral's name for it is "partial small subunit ribosomal RNA". The record is from RNAcentral. Lineage: Eukaryota; Viridiplantae; Streptophyta; Magnoliopsida; Poales; Poaceae.
AUCCACUCCCCCCCUCUCAUCCCACAGCCGCCACCCCCAACCCUCUCGCACCUUCUCUCAAUCCCAACCACCCAGCUGCCGCCGUCCUCCGUCCUCUCCCCCAACCACGGUCACCGACAACCCCUCCCCUCCCCUUCUCUCCCACGGCCGCGGUCGGAUCCGCUCGUCCCUUCCACAUCGCAGCCGCCACCUCCUUCCUUCCAGAUCGCGGCCGCCACCUCCCUCCCGCGGAGCUCCCCGCCGUCCAUGGCCUCCCCCACGCCCUCGUCUCUCCCUUCCCCUCACUCGCGCCGCCACCACCACCGCCGCGGCCGUGGAGGAGUACGAGGCGCCUCCGCUCAGGCUCCUCUGACCAUAUAAGCGGGCUAGUGCUCCCCCUCUCGCCUUCGUCUUCUUCCCUCGCCGUCCGCUGCCAUCGGGAUCUGCCGACGGAAUGGAGGCGGUAGACAACGCCAGUUCUGUGCAGGCGGCAAUUCGAUGGCUGCUUCAGACCAUCCUUCCGAGCCUCGGCAAGCUGGACGGGUGGAUUCGCCAAGCAGGGCCCUCUGCCGAGGUGGAGGGGCUGAGGGACGAGAUCGAGCAAGUCGACGGGGUCGUCUCUGCCGUGAACGACAGGGCGGCCCGAAACAGGUGGGUGGCCAGAUCCCUCGCAGCCCUCAAGCAGCUGCUCUACCACGCCGACGACACGGUCGACUAGCUCGACUGGUACAGGUUUCAGCAGGAGCUCCACGUCCACGGAGGCCCAUGGCAUUGGCACCAUCCCAACGAAAUUGAUGGACCAAGUAACCAGCUGCCAAGUUCUUCAAGAAGAAAAAGGAGAAGGGGCAACAUGGAGAAAGACGCGGUGCUGGUGUGCAUGGUCCUGGGUUUUCUAGGCUCCGUCGCGGUCACCCUCGGCUUCGUCGCCAACAACUACAGCUCCAAGUACAACGGGACGAACUGCGUGUAUCGGAGCCUGCCGGCGAUGGGUCUCGGCAUCCUGGGGGUGUUCCUGGUGUUCAUCAACCAGGUCAUCGUCGCCGCCUACGCCAGCGGCUGGUGCCUCUGCCUGUGUUGCUGCUGCCCCUGCUGGACCAAGCGCCGCCGGAUGGCGCCAACACCGUCCAAGUGGAACCCAGUAUAGAGUUCGUACGCUGAUUUAACUAGUUGAAACCUGUCCAUUAUUAACUAACCCCUGUUUCUUGAUGGUGUCUAUCUCCACGGGAUAUAAAAUGUGUCAUUGUUAAUAUUGCAUUGGUCCUUGUUGCUCUGUUGGCGUUAGUUACCUUCUUGUCACAUACUCCCUCCAUCCCACAAUAUAAGAUGUUUGUGCAAGCUAACAUUGCUUGCAAAAAUGUCUUACAUUAUGGGACGGAGGGAGCAAUAAGAAGGUGAAUUCUUAUACACUUUUAAGUCCUGUUAAUAACUAUUCAGGGGGCAAUAUUCGUUUCAUGAAUCAUCUAUAAAUAUCAUUCACGUGGUAUUGGGUCAGUUUCUAGCUACCAUUUCUAUACACAUUAUCUGUGUGUUGGCGCCAGUACUUUCAUGACUUGCUAUUCUUAUUCAAGUGGGCGAACUAAGUCAUUUUUUAUUCAGUUUGCGUUCUGCUAUGCCAAAGCCGGCAAUAUGAGCAUCACUAUACACUUUUCACCACUCCACUCCCUCCCAUGCAAAAUCAUCCUCUCAGCUCUCACCCAUCGACGGGGAAUUUUCCAAUCGACACUUCAUUUCGUUGCUAGUACGUAUUACACACACAUGCUCCAUAGCAAAUCCAACUGCAUUCUCUUGUCAAUUUAGGACUGGUAAGUAGGUGCCGCUGAGUCUGAGUGAGUGGUAAACAGUAUAGAGCUUGGACGCUAAUCAAGCUGAUUUAACUAGUAGAUGUCUAGAUUAAACCUGUCCAUUAUUAACCCCUGCUCCUUGAUGAUGUCGAUCUCCACAUCCACAAUAUGUAAACGUGUCAACUUUAAUAUUGCACUGAUCCUUACUGUUUUGUUGGCUUUAGUUAACUUUUUUUCAUAUAAUAAAAACGUGAUCUCGUUAUACAAUUUUGGGUUCUGUCAAUUAAUAGUUUGGAAAGCCUACAAGCCCUCUUAUAGUUAACUAAAAGGUUGUUGAACGUUUUUAACAACUGACUGUUGGACAUUCCCAUGCUGUACAUCACUGAUUAUGUACAACUUGGUACAAAAUUGGUCCGAUAUUAGUUUUAUAUAACAAAAGUAGGGAGGUUCCUGCUGCUUAUUAGUAUCAGCUUUGGAUUAUUACUGUGUUUGGUUCACCACUGUACUGAUUAUCUUGGUGAGCAUUUGUUCAAUAACUGGAAUACAUUGUCUGCUAGGAACUCUAUUUACCUUUGCGUACUAUUACAAAUGUCUGUGAGGGUGCUUUGUGCUACUACUAUAAUUUCAUUCAUGAAUUCUGCACAUAGAUUUUUCAUCCUGCUAUAAAAUUGCUUGUGCCUGAAUCUGUUUUCCGUUGCUAGUCAGAAGUCAAUUAUUACUGGUGUGUUCAGGAUUCUAUUUCCGUCAUCUAAAAUAUGUGUUAAUUCUGAUACAACGUACAGAGCUAUGUGAGCCCUCCUGGAUGGGGCUUCGGUUGGACCUCUGAUUGAGCUCCCCAUAGAUUUUGACCCAAGGUAAACACGAAUUUGCUUUUGUUGUUGCUGUAAAUGUCCCUGUCUUGUAGAGAGUAACAAAACCAUAUGUCAUGGGAGUGUGACACGUACUGUUUGUGAAUGCCUGUGAUAGGAUUAUUGGAUAUUUGCUGAUUAUAUGUCCUUAUCCAUCAUUGUCUGGUUGUUCUUGCAAUCACUAUUAGUUAGGUUGUGUAGGUGCCAAAUUCUGCUUCUGGAUUAGUCUAUUGUUCUCCUGAGACCCUCCUUUUUCCUACAUUGUCUACUGUUUGGAUGGGCCGCUAUCAUUAUAGUCUUUUAAUUGAUGCUACCUAUAUUGACAGUUUGUAUCUAGGCCCUUCGCGGUGGGGUUUGGACGCUGUGUCUGGGUUAUUGUUAUUGAACUUUGGGCCUAAGCAUGGACUUUUGGGGCCUUCAUUUUUGUUGGUGGUUCUGAAUUUGUGUACCUACAGUUCUACAAAAUUGAUAUGACUGAUUGUUUUGUUGCUUGGACAAUAACUUGCUAUUUAUGUACCUAAAGUUCUAGUUUGUUGCUGCUCAAUGCUCACAUUCGUUUCUCAUCCUUGCUAUUUAUGUUGGCUGACAUUACUUGCUUGUUGCUAUUGUGCGACCAGCAUCCGCGUGACAGGGUUUGUCGGAACCGCCAUCGCUUUAGGGUGCUUCUCCAGUGCCGCUAUCAUCACCAAGCGCAGGGAGUACCUGUACCUCGGUGGCCUGACCUCUUCUGGCAUGUCGAUCCUUCGACAUGAAACUGUAUGCUCGGUUUCUUCUCUCCCUUUUGGUGCGCAUGCCAUUACUGCAUGGUGACCACGUAGCUCAAGAACGCAGGCGACAAGAAGAGGUAGAGGAGGUCUUGAACGUUUCUCCCACACAUCGUAGAUACCACCACCGCGGCCUUCUAGGAAUUAAGCUGGCGCUGUGCCACCCUUGUGUAUCUAUUUUUGAUUGUAUGUGGAAGUUGGACGUGCAUACGUGUAUUUGCUCUUGUGAGUAUUUGACUGGAUGAUCUCUGGAUUUAAUCAGUUAAUUGAUAGAUUUAUUGAUAUUUUGUUGUUCAAAUGUGUAAAUUGAAAUAUGUGAAUGAAAAAGACCAAAUGUUCUACUUGAUAAAAUAAUAUUUG